AUUGAACGCUGGCGGCAUGCCUAACACAUGCAAGUCGAACGUGAAAGAGGGGCAACUCUCGAGUAAAGUGGCGGACGGGUGAGUAAUACGUAGGAAUCUGCCCUAGAGUGGGGGAUAACCUGCCGAAAGGCGGGCUAAUACCGCAUGAUCUCUAUGGAGCAAAGGUGGCUAGCAAUAGCCUUCGCUUUAGGAUGAGCCUACGUCGGAUUAGCUAGUUGGUAGGGUAAUGGCCUACCAAGGCGACAAUCCGUAGCUGGUCUGAGAGGACGAUCAGCCACACUGGAACUGAGACACGGUCCAGACUCCUACGGGUGGCAG
This 318-nucleotide ribosomal RNA is filed under the name uncultured Pseudomonadota bacterium. RNAcentral describes it as "bacterial SSU rRNA". It matches the Rfam family "Bacterial small subunit ribosomal RNA", at positions 30 to 351 of the family's 1533-position model. The record is from RNAcentral. Lineage: Bacteria; Pseudomonadati; Pseudomonadota.